AUGUGCCACGCGUACACUUCGGUUCCUACGCGCCGUCCGCACCCACCUGGCGGCUGCUCGCUACGUUUUGUUAUCC
Molecule: non-coding RNA, 76 nt
Organism: Xanthomonas fragariae
Lineage: Bacteria; Pseudomonadati; Pseudomonadota; Gammaproteobacteria; Lysobacterales; Lysobacteraceae
Source: Rfam